Long non-coding RNA from Oryzias latipes (Japanese medaka), 1498 nucleotides. RefSeq lists it as uncharacterized. NCBI's taxonomy places the organism in Eukaryota, Metazoa, Chordata, Actinopteri, Beloniformes, Adrianichthyidae. The record is from RefSeq and is a predicted model, not a curated record.
UAGUCCAAUGAGCUCAAAAGUUUUAUAAUCACUGAACUCAAAAGUAACAAACAAGUUGAGUCAUCUUAAAACCUAUAAGCCGAUUCAACUUUUGCCACAGUUAUAUGUUUAUUGGACUAAAACAUUUUGAGUAAAUGAAACCUUGGAGUCAAAACUUAUGAGUAAUGAGACGUGAUGACGUCAUAACGUACGCCCAUGAACGUGAACUCAGCCACAGAAGUCUUCAAGAUGGCGGAGGUCUGAUGCGAGUGUCAGCUGGCCCAAGUUGAUAACGCACAUACGUCUAGUAUAUCCUUUGUAUUCAUGACGUGCUCCACGAGUUUGUAUGUAUCUUCGAAUAAUAUUUGUUCUGAAUUAAACAAUUAUGUAUGUUUUGCAGUAUCAUGUCAUCAGAGAAUUAUUGCUUGUGGUUAAAAGAAGUUGUUGGGGCAAAGUUUCAAGUUUUACUUUUACCGAGUUGGUUGGCGCACAUUUUAAAUUAUCUAACCGUUACUAGCUGACCGUUACUACUAGCUAACCGCUAGCUAGCUCUGGCAGAGCGGCUGCCACAGCCACAUAUACGACUCGGUGGGAAUUGCCUUUUUUUUCUACUACUUUUUACCAUAGGCUCUGUGAUUUGGUAAUCGUUAUUUUUUUGUGUAACUUGUAUUUCACGUAGUAACCUAAUAAAUGCAAAUGUGGGCUAAGCUAGCUGCCUUACGCUAACAUGUUCUCGUAUCUUCUUUAGUGAACCGGCGGUGCGUUUGAAAAAUAAGAGCGGAGAUGUGAGCUGAGUUUCAUCGCAUCACAAAUGUCAAACUGUUAAAACAGUUUUAUUUUGACCUGGACAGACAGACGCCACGGAUGCUGAUCUUUUUGAGACAGAAGGCAGCACGAACCGGAAGGCUCUAUGCGACUUUCUGCACCUCUAUGAUAAACAGCAAGAGCAGACUGCUGAUGUCAAAGGUACUCCUGUCCUGUACUGGCUUCCCAUAUACAAACGUGAGGAGGACCCACAGUUCUUCAAAGUUUGGAAUAUUAAAGAGUCACCAGAGGCAGACAUCAGCAGCACCUCUGUUGGCAUUCUGACCGUCAGCAACAACAAUACAAGUUCAGUGCAUUUCUGUCCCCUCAGUACAGCAGUUGUGGUGGAAGAUGAGCUUGUGGUAGGCAAAUUUCCUAAAUGGGUAUUUUUUUUGAGCGCUAAUGUUUAUAGGGAAAUGGCAGCCUAAGAAAAUACUGUUUUAUGUGGGAAAAGUAUAAAAAAAAAAGGCUGAUAAACAAUUUUUGCUUUUCUUGAAAUGUAAGAAUGCUCUUUUUUUAUGAAGUUGUAUAAGGAAAUGGUGUAAAAAAGAUUAGAGCUCAUUUUUUGCUUUUCUUGAAGACUGAUUUAUUUAUUUUUUAUGGCUUGUGCACUUUUUCUUAACACAAAUUGUGCUUUGUUUUACCUUUUUGUAGUACCACAAGUUGUUCAAAUGUACUUGUGUAAGGUGGUUUAAAAAUAAACUUGCAAUUACAA